Molecule: non-coding RNA, 102 nt
Filed under: Geosporobacter ferrireducens
Lineage: Bacteria; Bacillati; Bacillota; Clostridia; Peptostreptococcales; Thermotaleaceae
Description: Guanine sequence
Rfam family: Purine riboswitch aptamer
About the family: Riboswitches are metabolite binding domains within certain messenger RNAs that serve as precision sensors for their corresponding targets. Allosteric rearrangement of mRNA structure is mediated by ligand binding, and this results in modulation of gene expression.
Source: Rfam by way of RNAcentral
CAUCUAAAAAUAAAUAGGGUUCAUAUAAUCGCAGAGAUAUGGUCUGCAAGUUUCUACCGGACUACCGUAAAUGGUCUGACUAUGAGCAAGCGAACACCGAAG